RNAcentral lists this ribosomal RNA (439 nucleotides) under uncultured Nitrospirales bacterium. RNAcentral's name for it is "partial 16S ribosomal RNA". It matches the Rfam family "Bacterial small subunit ribosomal RNA", at positions 338 to 794 of the family's 1533-position model. The record is from RNAcentral. Lineage: Bacteria; Pseudomonadati; Nitrospirota; Nitrospiria; Nitrospirales.
CCUACGGGAGGCAGCAGUGAGGAAUCUUGCGCAAUGGGGGAAACCCUGACGCAGCAACGCCGCGUGGAGGAUGAAGGCCUUCGGGUUGUAAACUCCUUUUGCAGGGGACGAUGAUGACGGUACCCUGCGAAUAAGCCACGGCUAACUCUGUGCCAGCAGCCGCGGUAAGACAGAGGUGGCGAGCGUUGUUCGGAAUUACUGGGCUUAAAGGGCGCGUAGGUGGUAGUGCAAGUCUGGGGUGGAAUCCUAUGGCUUAACCAAAGAACUGCCCUGGAAACUGCAUUACUUGAGUCAGCGAGGGGAGGGUAAAAUUCCUGGGGUAGCGGUGAAAGGCGUAGAUAUCAGGAGGAAGGCCGGUGGCGAAGGCGGCCCUCGGGCGCUUGCCUGACCCUGAGGCGCGAAAGCGUGGGAAGCAAACAGGAUUAGAUCCCCGGGUAGU